RNAcentral lists this ribosomal RNA (301 nucleotides) under uncultured bacterium. RNAcentral describes it as "partial 16S ribosomal RNA". It matches the Rfam family "Bacterial small subunit ribosomal RNA", at positions 509 to 807 of the family's 1533-position model. The record is from RNAcentral.
CAGCAGCCGCGGUAAUACGGAGGGGGCUAGCGUUGUUCGGAAUUACUGGGCGUAAAGCGCACGUAGGCGGCUUGGUAAGUUAGAGGUGAAAGCCCGGAGCUCAACUCCGGAAUUGCCUUUAAGACUGCCGAGCUAGCAGGUGAGAGAGGUAAGUGGAAUUCCGAGUGUAGAGGUGAAAUUCGUAGAUAUUUGGAAGAACACCAGUGGCGAAGGCGGCUUACUGGCUCAUACUGGACGCUGAGGUGCGAGAGCGUGGGGAGCAAACAGGAUUAGAUACCCCAGUAGUCCCUGUCUCUUAUAC